This 341-nucleotide unclassified non-coding RNA is filed under the name soil metagenome. Its description in RNAcentral is "partial contains 5.8S ribosomal RNA, internal transcribed spacer 2, and large subunit ribosomal RNA". The stretch from base 1 to 120 matches the Rfam family "5.8S ribosomal RNA", at positions 35 to 154 of the family's 154-position model. The record is from RNAcentral.
GAUGAAGAACGCAGCGAAAUGCGAUAAGUAGUGUGAAUUGCAGAAUUCAGUGAAUCAUCGAAUCUUUGAACGCACAUUGCGCCCUUUGGUAUUCCAAAGGGCAUGCCUGUUCGAGCGUCAUUUGUACCCUCAAGCUUUGCUUGGUGUUGAGCGUCUUGUCUCUAGCUUUGCUGGAGACUCGCCUUAAAGUAAUUGGCAGCCGGCCUACUGGUUUCGGAGCGCAGCACAAGUCGCACUCUCUAUCAGCAAAGGUCUAGCAUCCAUUAAGCCUUUUUUUUCAACUUUUGACCUCGGAUCAGGUAGGGAUACCCGCUGAACUUAAGCAUAUCAAUAAGCGGAGG